UCUUUAAUGGAGAGUUUGAUCCUGGCUCAGGACGAACGCUGGCGGCGUGCCUAAUACAUGCAAGUCGAGCGGGGUUAGUUAGAAGCUUGCUUCUAACUAACUUAGCGGCGGACGGGUGAGUAACACGUAGGCAACCUGCCCACAAGACAGGGAUAACUACCGGAAACGGUAGCUAAUACCCGAUACAUCCUUUUCCUGCAUGGGAGAAGGAGGAAAGGCGGAGCGAUCUGUCACUUGUGGAUGGGCCUGCGGCGCAUUAGCUAGUUGGUGGGGUAAA
This 277-nucleotide ribosomal RNA is filed under the name Paenibacillus polymyxa. Its description in RNAcentral is "partial 16S ribosomal RNA". It matches the Rfam family "Bacterial small subunit ribosomal RNA", at positions 1 to 261 of the family's 1533-position model. Lineage: Bacteria; Bacillati; Bacillota; Bacilli; Caryophanales; Paenibacillaceae. The record is from RNAcentral.